CUGCUUGCUUCGGCAGCACAUAUACUAAAAUUGGAACCAUACAGAGAAGUUAGCCUCGCCCCUGCACAAGGAUGACACACAAAUUUGUGAAGUGUUCCAUUUUUUU
This 106-nucleotide small nuclear RNA is filed under the name Salvator merianae (Argentine black and white tegu). Lineage: Eukaryota; Metazoa; Chordata; Lepidosauria; Squamata; Teiidae. The record is from RNAcentral.